This is a non-coding RNA of Miniopterus natalensis, 460 nucleotides long. Lineage: Eukaryota; Metazoa; Chordata; Mammalia; Chiroptera; Miniopteridae. The record is from RefSeq and is a predicted model, not a curated record.
AUGAGCUACGCGGCAGUCCUAGGAAGGAAGACCAUCACUCUCAAGGUUGAACCCUUGGAUACAACAGAAAAUGUAAAGGCCAAGAUCCAGGAUAAGGAAGGAAUUCUUCCUGAUCAGCAAAGACUGAUCUUUGCUAGCAAGCAACUGGAAGAUGGAUGUACUUUGUCUGACCAUAAUAUUCAAAAGGAGUCCACUCUUCAUCUUGUGUUGAGACUUCAUGGUGGUGCUAAGAAAAGGAAGAAAUCUUACACCACUCCCAAGGAGAAUGAGCAUAAGAGAAAAGUUUAAGCUGGCUGCCCUGAAAUACUAUAAGGUGAAUGAGAUGGCAAAAAUCAGCCGACUUUGUCAGGAGUGCCCUUCAGGUGAAUGAGGUGCUGGAAUUUUUAUGACCAGCCACUUUGACAGACAUUGUUGUGGCAAAUCUCUGACCUAUUGCUUCAACAAACCAGGAGACAAGUAA